CGUGAGCAAUCUGCCUUGGAGUGGGGAAUAACGGCUGGAAACAGCCGCUAAUACCGCAUGAUACAGCUGGGAGGCAUCUCCCUGGCUGUCAAAGAUUUAUCGCUCUGAGAUGAGCUCGCGUCUGAUUAGCUAGUUGGCGGGGUAACGGCCCACCAAGGCGACGAUGCGUAGGGGUUCUGAGAGGAAGGUCCCCCACAUUGGAACUGAGACACGGCCCAAACUCCUACGGGAGGCAGCAG
RNAcentral lists this ribosomal RNA (239 nucleotides) under uncultured bacterium. RNAcentral's name for it is "partial 16S ribosomal RNA". It matches the Rfam family "Bacterial small subunit ribosomal RNA", at positions 116 to 354 of the family's 1533-position model. The record is from RNAcentral.